This 482-nucleotide ribosomal RNA is filed under the name uncultured bacterium. RNAcentral describes it as "partial 16S ribosomal RNA". It matches the Rfam family "Bacterial small subunit ribosomal RNA", at positions 30 to 507 of the family's 1533-position model. The record is from RNAcentral.
AUUGAACGCUGGCGGCAUGCCUUACACAUGCAAGUCGAACGGUAACGGGCCUUCGGGUGCCGACGAGUGGCGGACGGGUGAGUAAUACAUCGGAACGUGCCCGAUCGUGGGGGAUAACGAGGCUAAAGCUUUGCUAAUACCGCAUACGAUCUACGGAUGAAAGCAGGGGACCGCAAGGCCUUGCGCGGGCGGAGCGGCCGAUGGCAGAUUAGGUAGUUGGUGGGAUAAAAGCUUACCAAGCCGACGAUCUGUAGCUGGUCUGAGAGGAUGAUCAGCCACACUGGGACUGAGACACGGCCCAGACUCCUACGGGAGGCAGCAGUGGGGAAUUUUGGACAAUGGGCGCAAGCCUGAUCCAGCCAUGCCGCGUGCAGGAUGAAGGCCUUCGGGUUGUAAACUGCUUUUGUACGGAACGAAAAGCCUUCUUUUAAUACAGGAGGGUCAUGACGGUACCGUAAGAAUAGGCACCGGCUAACUACGUG